UCUCUUCCUCUUUUUUUUAGGGGUUUCCCUUUCCUCCUCACCCUCGUGGCCUCGUGCCCUUUUUCAGAUCAUGCCCUGUUUCUUUUUCUUUAUUCUUCGUGUCCAUUGUGUCCAUGGUUACGUAGUUGCCUUCUUUUCGCCCGAUCUUGAAGCUGAUCCCUCCAUUCGCCAUUUUCUUCGAUCUGGUGGUUUUCACCAUUUUUUUCUUCGAUCUCUCUUCUCUGACAUUCUUCCAUUAUGUUUUUUAUUUUUUAAUGGCAGCCAACAACAAGAUGCUUGUGAUUCAAAAGAUGGUGCUGGGAUUCUUGACUUGGUUUUUCCCAAGUAUCUAUUCGAUACAACAAAGGAAGUCAGUGUACUUUCUUGUGGGAAUAAAAUGCAUUUGGAAUGUGCUAAACAGAUAGAGGAUCAUUAUCAAAGAACUCAAAAUUGCUGAAUUUUGCUCACUAUAGGGUAGGGGUGGACCAGGACUGGCUGCAGAUGUUGAUGCUCAGAAGCAGGUAAGAAGCCCAACUACCCGUGGGGAUGCAACAUUUUAUCUUCCAAUUGUCCUCCCAAAAUCUAUGAAUGCUUCUUCGUCAUGGCAGGAGCUCUUGGUGGUUCUCAUACUGGUUAGGUAAAUCAAAAUGGUUUGUAGAAUCAGUCACUUAUUGGCAAUGACCCUUUAACGCAACAUUCCAUAUGCCAAUUGGCCUCCCAAAAGCUAUGAUUGCUUCUUCUGUCAUGACAGGAGCUCUUGGUGGUUCUCAGACUGGUCAGGUAAAUCAAAACAGUUUGCAAACUUGGUCAAUUAUUGGUAAUGACCCUUUAACGCAUCAUCUAGCCAACAUGUCUAGGAGUCAACUGAAUCAAGUUAUACAUGAAAUGAAGGUAAAUACUGCAAAAGAGAUGUUCACAGGAAUUAUUUUACAUGUGAAUGUAUUUCCUGUCAAUCUGGUUCCAUAUGCUUUCUAUGCAAAACAAGGACCUUAUGUCAACUUUUUCUUGUGAGCCCACAGCUUUUAAAAGCUCUCUUCCGGGUUCUCUUCAACUCCGAGCUGCUUCCAUUUAUUUGUAAAAUUACUUAAGUUUGUCCUUAAUUUCUCUUUGGGUGUAGCAACAAAUUUAACCUCCAGGCUUCAGUUUAUGGUAGUGACCUUACGUGAAUAGAAGCAGGGAAAUUGGAGGGGGGGGGGGGGGGGGGGGGAUGAUAUCCUUUGUAUAUAUAGAAGCAGAAAUAUCAUUGUUGAUCAAGCUUUUGAUGGUUAAUUUACUAUGAUUAUGAUAUAGUUUGGUCGCAAAAGCAGAAAUAUCAUUGUUGAUCAAGGUUGAAUAUGUCUAUGAUUGGGAAUUUGUGAUCGUCUUGGCUCUCAGCUCUACCAGUGUUACCCAUAGAGCGGUGUUGUGGGGACCUAUUAUGCAAGUUGGCAUGUUCUGUGGUUCAUGCAGUAGAUAAUGUGAUAUGCUUUUGGUUUUUGGUAUACGGUAUUUUACAGUUGUUCAUACCAUUAUAAGUUCUUAUGUUAAUAUUAAUUUUUUAUAUUUUAUAUAUGAUAUAUGAUAUAUGUUAAUAGUAGUACCUAGGAAUCAUCUGGAAAAAUUGAUUUACUUUUUUAUUUUAUUUUUGUGAUCAAUCUGAUCAUAUGUUAAUCUCACGUACUUAAAAUCUUCUUAUUCUGUUUGUAUUCUAUAUGAAGUUGGUGUUUUCGAAAGACUAAAAGUUCGUAUUUUCUUUUGUGAGGUGUGAUUUAAGGAUGCAACGACAUCUUUCCGACUCUUACUGCAUACCGUGCUCCAGUUUUUCAAAUACGCUUGUCUGCGUAAUCAUCUUCUUGUCGUCUUAGCUAUCAUGAAUCUGCAGCUUCAGUAGACCUUCAUACUUUAGUGUAAUCACUUAUGACCAAGCUCUGAUGGUGCAGACCCAAGUGAUGCAGACAAAGUGGUGCAGACCCAAGUGAUGCAGACCCACGUGAUGCAAAUCCAAAGUGGUGCAGACCCAAGUGAUGCAGAUCCAAAGUGGUGCAGACCCAAGUGAUGCAAACCUUCGUGAAAAUUCAUGUGGUGUAGACCCAAGUGAUGCAAAUAAAGUGGUGGUAAACUGAGUUUUAGGGAGCUAAUUGAUGAUGAUGAUGAUAUUUUUGGGUCGGAAAAGGCUCUGAUGGGGUAGACCCAAGUGAUGCAGACAAAGUGGUUCAGACCCACCAAGUGAUGCAGAUCCAAAGCGGUGCAUACCCAAGUGAUGUUGAUCCAAAUUGGUUAAACCGAAUACAUAAGCUGGAUUAUGAAUCCCCAUAAUCUAUUAUCCGGUUAUGACUCGCUCAUAUGAUUGACCGUGCCCCAACAGGAUAAUCUAUUAUACCUUGAGAGAUCUAUUUGAGUUAAAGACAAUAAUAAGUGAAUAACAAUUCAAAGAAUGGUGAGGUUAAGGAAGCAGAUGAAGCUGAUGAUAAUACCUAUUAUCUAAAUUUCUGUAAGGUUUGGAGUUUGUCUGAUUUGCUUAAUUGGUAUAGAAUUCAUAGGUUUAUUGUUUUGUUUUGUAGGUUUCUAUGUGUUUUCUCAACUGGGAUGUUGAUUAGGUUCAUAUUUCUGGUUCAUUAUGAUUUUAGCCUUUUUACACUUAUCCCAGAUUUCAAUUUCUGGGUCAUGGUCGAGAUUUUCUUUUGCAAUGUUAGACUUGUAUGGUUGUUUAGA
Spinacia oleracea (spinach) is the source of this 2670-nucleotide RNA transcript. RefSeq lists it as uncharacterized. Lineage: Eukaryota; Viridiplantae; Streptophyta; Magnoliopsida; Caryophyllales; Amaranthaceae. The transcript has 7 exons. The record is from RefSeq and is a predicted model, not a curated record.